Molecule: transfer RNA, 72 nt
Filed under: Saccoglossus kowalevskii
Lineage: Eukaryota; Metazoa; Hemichordata; Enteropneusta; Harrimaniidae
Description: tRNA-Trp
Rfam family: tRNA
About the family: Transfer RNA (tRNA) molecules are approximately 80 nucleotides in length.
Source: RNAcentral
GACUCUGUGCCGCAAUGGUAGCGCGUCUGACUCCAGAUCAGAAGGUUGCGUGUUCGAAUCACGUCAGGGUCA